Molecule: ribosomal RNA, 383 nt
Filed under: uncultured soil bacterium
Lineage: Bacteria
Description: bacterial SSU rRNA
Rfam family: Bacterial small subunit ribosomal RNA
Source: RNAcentral
AGAUUGAACGCUGGCGGCAUGCCUUACACAUGCAAGUCGAACGGCAGCACGGGAGCAAUCCUGGUGGCGAGUGGCGAACGGGUGAGUAAUACAUCGGAACGUGCCCAAUCGUGGGGGAUAACGCAGCGAAAGCUGUGCUAAUAUCGCAUAAGAUCUACGGAUGAAAGCAGGGGAUCGCAAGACCUUGCGCGAAUGGAGCGGCCGAAUGGCAGAUUAGGUAGUUGGUGAGGUAAAGGCUCACCAAGCCUUCGAUCUGUAGCUGGUCUGAGAGGACGACCAGCCACACGUGGGACUGAGACACGGCCCAGACUCCGUAGGGAGGCGGCAGGUCGGGGAAUUUGGAACAAGUGGGACGAAAGCCUAGGAUCCGAGCCAGUCGACCG